GUCAGGGUAGCUCAGCUGGUAGAGC
RNAcentral lists this transfer RNA (25 nucleotides) under Leichhardtia paulforsteri. RNAcentral describes it as "partial tRNA-Phe". Lineage: Eukaryota; Viridiplantae; Streptophyta; Magnoliopsida; Gentianales; Apocynaceae. The record is from RNAcentral.